CAGUAGCCGCGGUAAUACGAAGGGGGCUAGCGUUGCUCGGAAUGACUGGGCGUAAAGGGCGCGUAGGCGGUUCACGCAGUCAGAUGUGAAAUUCCUGGGCUUAACCUGGGGGCUGCAUUUGAGACGCGUGGGCUUGAGUGUGAAAGAGGGUCGUGGAAUUCCCAGUGUAGGGGUGAAAUUCGUAGAUAUUGGGAAGAACACCGGUGGCGAAGGCGGCGACCUGGUUCACAACUGACGCUGAGGCGCGAAAGCGUGGGGAGCAAACAGGAUUAGAUACCCGUGUAGUCCCUGUCUCUUAUAC
Molecule: ribosomal RNA, 301 nt
Filed under: uncultured bacterium
Lineage: Bacteria
Description: partial 16S ribosomal RNA
Rfam family: Bacterial small subunit ribosomal RNA
Source: RNAcentral